AUCACGGAGAGUUUGAUCCUAGCUCAGGACGAACGCUGGCGGCAGGCUUAACACAUGCAAGUCGCACGAGAACGUUCUGGCUUUGCCAGGACAAGUACAGUGGCGGACGGGUGCGUAUCGCGUAGAUAACCUGCCCUUAGGCGCGGGACAAUCACGGGAAACCGUGGCUAAUACCGCACGUCGUCUGGGCCCUGCAUGGGGACCAGAUGAAAGCUUGGGGUUACCCAGGCGCCUUGGGAUGGGUCUGCGUUGGAUUAGCUUGUUGGUGAGGCAACGGCUCACCAAGGCGACGAUCCAUAGCUGGUCUGAGAGGACGAUCAGCCACACUGGGACUGAGACACGGCCCAGACUCCUACGGGAGGCAGCAGUGGGGAAUCUUGCACA
RNAcentral lists this ribosomal RNA (384 nucleotides) under Salinibacter ruber. RNAcentral describes it as "bacterial SSU rRNA". It matches the Rfam family "Bacterial small subunit ribosomal RNA", at positions 1 to 370 of the family's 1533-position model. The record is from RNAcentral. Lineage: Bacteria; Pseudomonadati; Rhodothermota; Rhodothermia; Rhodothermales; Salinibacteraceae.